GGCUUGAUAGCUUAGCUGGUAAAGUGCUCGUCUAGUAUACAAGAGUCCUGGAUUCGAAUCCCAGCCGAGCAC
Molecule: transfer RNA, 72 nt
Filed under: Aedes aegypti (yellow fever mosquito)
Lineage: Eukaryota; Metazoa; Arthropoda; Insecta; Diptera; Culicidae
Rfam family: tRNA
About the family: Transfer RNA (tRNA) molecules are approximately 80 nucleotides in length. Their secondary structure includes four short double-helical elements and three loops (D, anti-codon, and T loops).
Source: Rfam by way of RNAcentral